RNAcentral lists this signal recognition particle RNA (98 nucleotides) under Candidatus Pelagibacter sp. RNAcentral describes it as "signal recognition particle sRNA small type". It matches the Rfam family "Bacterial small signal recognition particle RNA". From Rfam's summary of the family: The signal recognition particle (SRP) is a universally conserved ribonucleoprotein involved in the co-translational targeting of proteins to membranes. Archaeal SRP consists of a 7S RNA and homologues of the eukaryotic SRP19 and SRP54 proteins. In most bacteria, the SRP consists of a 4.5S RNA and the Ffh protein (a homologue of the eukaryotic SRP54 protein). The record is from RNAcentral. Lineage: Bacteria; Pseudomonadati; Pseudomonadota; Alphaproteobacteria; Candidatus Pelagibacterales; Candidatus Pelagibacteraceae.
GGGGAAUUGAUAAUAGGUGGAUGUUGCGCUAAUCCGGUCAGAUUCGAAAGAAAGCAGCCGUAACGNUAAUAUUCCAGGUUAUUAAUCAAUUCCUCGUG